AGGGCCCAGCUCCACGGAGGUGCAUACAACGCUGUGGAAAUGCUGGAGAAAGUGCUGAACCAAGAGAGUCCUUUUCCAAUGUUGGAUUACCUGCAGCAGGAGCUCCCCUUGCCUCUGGUUCUAGACAUUGGUGAAGUGAUGAAGAUGGAAGAUACGUCCUAUGAUGAAUUCCUCUUGGUUUCUAUAAUCACAAAGUAAAGAUGUCCUCUGGGGUCCUGCUUGAAAACCAAGAAGCCAGAAUCGUCUCUCACCACCUCCGUUCCAUCUGGGGCCAUUUCCUUCAGUAGCACCAACCAGCAGCAGGAAAUGGUGCUGCCUCCAAGUUUGGAAAGCCUAGGAUCUCUAUAGCAAAGGCCUCGCUUAGGAUUUAAAUUGCUUAAAAGUUCUGUGUUGAGGCAAGAGGCAAUGGGCAGUGCAAGGUGGGAGCCACACACAGGGUCCUGAAUGCUCCUCUUGGUGAAGCAGCACCCAUCGAUUUGACUGGAGCUCCCUUGAAAGUGCUUUCAAGUGGUUAGUGUCCAGUGGGGAGAAAGUCGUAUUUCCCAUAGCAUCAAUCCCUCUUGAUGGAUGAAAUGAGCAUGGAGGUCUCCAAAUCUCCUUCGAUACUCCAACCAGGUGUAUCUUAGCAGGUGUUUGCCCAGUGUA
Podarcis raffonei (Aeolian wall lizard) is the source of this 645-nucleotide long non-coding RNA. RefSeq lists it as uncharacterized. The record is from RefSeq and is a predicted model, not a curated record. NCBI's taxonomy places the organism in Eukaryota, Metazoa, Chordata, Lepidosauria, Squamata, Lacertidae. The transcript has 3 exons.